UACAGGGGGGGCAAGCGUUGUUCGGAAUUACUGGGCGUAAAGGGCUCGUAGGUGGCCAACUAAGUCGGACGUGAAAUCCCUCAGCUUAACUGGGGAACUGCGUCCGAUACUGGAUGGCUUGAGUUUGGGAGAGGGAUGCGGAAUUCCAGGUGUAGCGGUGAAAUGCGUAGAUAUCUGGAGGAACACCGGUGGCGAAGGCGGCAUCCUGGACCAACACUGACACUGAGGAGCGAAAGCCAGGGGAGCGAACGGG
RNAcentral lists this ribosomal RNA (253 nucleotides) under uncultured bacterium. Its description in RNAcentral is "partial 16S ribosomal RNA". It matches the Rfam family "Bacterial small subunit ribosomal RNA", at positions 524 to 776 of the family's 1533-position model. The record is from RNAcentral.